UACAGAGGGUGCAAGCGUUUAAUCGGAUUUACUGGGCGUAAAGCGCGCGUAGGCGGCUAAUUAAGUCAAAUGUGAAAUCCCCCGAGCUUAACUUGGGAAUUGCAUUCGAUACUGGUUAGCUAGAGUGUGGGAGAGGAUGGUAGAAUUCCAGGUGUAGCGGUGAAAUGCGUAGAGAUCUGGAGGAAUACCGAUGGCGAAGGCAGCCAUCUGGCCUAACACUGACGCUGAGGUGCGAAAGCAUGGGGGAGCAAACAGGG
Molecule: ribosomal RNA, 257 nt
Filed under: uncultured bacterium
Lineage: Bacteria
Description: partial 16S ribosomal RNA
Rfam family: Bacterial small subunit ribosomal RNA
Source: RNAcentral